AAAUGAUAAUGGCAAACUUCUCGAAAGAGGAGGACGCAAAGCCUAGGGUCUAAAGCCGUACCGGUCAUGAUCGCCUGGUUGCCGAU
This 86-nucleotide non-coding RNA is filed under the name Sediminibacillus albus. RNAcentral describes it as "c-di-GMP-I riboswitch aptamer". It matches the Rfam family "c-di-GMP-I riboswitch aptamer". From Rfam's summary of the family: GEMM was predicted in a large-scale screen for bacterial structured RNA regulatory elements. Genes associated with GEMM are involved in a diverse array of functions, including chemotaxis regulation, signal transduction, secretion and chitin. Lineage: Bacteria; Bacillati; Bacillota; Bacilli; Caryophanales; Bacillaceae. The record is from Rfam by way of RNAcentral.